This 89-nucleotide transfer RNA is filed under the name Gammaproteobacteria bacterium RIFCSPHIGHO2_12_FULL_41_20. RNAcentral's name for it is "tRNA-Leu". It matches the Rfam family "tRNA". Rfam says of the family: Transfer RNA (tRNA) molecules are approximately 80 nucleotides in length. Their secondary structure includes four short double-helical elements and three loops (D, anti-codon, and T loops). Lineage: Bacteria; Pseudomonadati; Pseudomonadota; Gammaproteobacteria. The record is from RNAcentral.
GCCCGGGUGGCGGAACUGGUAGACGCAAGGGACUUAAAAUCCCUCGGAAGGUAACUUCCGUGCCGGUUCGAUUCCGGCCUCGGGCACCA